CCCUCCUACAAAAGCAUGUCUUUGGUUCCUAGUCUUUAGACACAUAAGAAUUGGAGGCAAAGAAAUGUGGACCUGAAGAAGUCUAGGGUUAGCUUUCUUCUCAUGGGUUUAAGAUCAACAAUUCUACAUAA
This 131-nucleotide small nucleolar RNA is filed under the name Carlito syrichta (Philippine tarsier). RNAcentral describes it as "Small nucleolar RNA SNORA38 (ENSTSYG00000026929.1)". It matches the Rfam family "Small nucleolar RNA SNORA38". Rfam says of the family: ACA38 is a member of the H/ACA class of snoRNA that guide the sites of modification of uridines to pseudouridines. The record is from Rfam by way of RNAcentral. Lineage: Eukaryota; Metazoa; Chordata; Mammalia; Primates; Tarsiidae.